Molecule: long non-coding RNA, 4563 nt
Filed under: Gallus gallus (chicken)
Lineage: Eukaryota; Metazoa; Chordata; Aves; Galliformes; Phasianidae
Description: lncRNA (ENSGALG00010015077.1)
Source: RNAcentral
GUGACGAGGGCUGAAGGGAGUGGAGAGCAGGCUGCACAGGGCCUGGGGAAGAGCCCUGGGGAAAACGGCUCCUCUCCUUUGCUGGCCCAGCCCUUUGUCCUUUGCAAGCAAAAUGGUGGAAAUCCACUCAGGGAUGUAGCGGUUUUGGCGGGAAGGUGACAAACUUGCUGUCCAUUCAGCGGCUUUGGCGGGAAGGUGACAAAGUUGCUGUCCAUUCAGUGGCUUUUGAAUUUUCAGUGCACCAGGAGCGCACGUUGAUCUGUGAGAACCGUGAGAACCUUCUGUGGCUGAUAAACAAAUGAAGAAUAUCUGGGCCUGACAGCAUUAAAAAAAAGACAGAAGAGAGGCAUCUGACACUGCUGCUCGAUUCUCAGUGCUAGCAUGAAAACGCCUGGUGAAGUACCUGAGAUGUUUCUUCAUCCAGUAUGCCACAGUUUUUUAUCUGAAUGAUGAAACUGCCACCUAAGGGCAAGAGAGCUUGUUGAGGCAGGAGCUUGAGAUGGGGAACCUGCUAACCAAGAUAAGGCAGUCUCCACAGGUGCCAGUCCCACCAUGUUCAGGUCAACGUGAAGCACCUGCACUGUGUUGAAGGCCGUCCUCACUCAGAUAGUACUGGCAAGUUUUAAAGCAUGUGUACGAUGUGUCAAGGAUCUUAUGAAGAUAAACAAACUACAGGAAAACCAUCUCCAAACCAACCAAAUUAUUCCUCUUACAAAAGUGGUAAAGAGAGAAGAGGAUUGCAGUUGUCAUCCAACUAAAAAUGCCUAAAAGCACUCAGAUGCAGUCAUAUGCUGGAUAUGAUCUGUAUUUACAUGGAUAGUUUCAAAGUGCCAGCCAGGAGUGAAAAGGCCUUAGCCCAUCAAAUGAAGAUGUCCUUGCCUGUACAGAAAAUAUGGGAUGCUAAAAGCUUUCCUGAAAAGUCAUUGAUGACAGUUCAAAGAAAAAAUACACAGAUGCUGUAAGCAGUAAAAUGCCCUCUGCUGUGCAGGAGACACUAAAAUAAACAUUCAGCCAGAAGUGACAAUGGCUCCUUUAAAAGGUGAGCAUAGUUUUAUAUUCCCUCUUGGAGACCUAAAUAGCAACCAUUUCCUACCAAAACAGCACACGAAACAAAGGCCCCAUUCAGAGGAGUAGUCAGAGUGGGCAAUGCUCUAUAGCCCUUUGUAUCCUGGAACAACACGGUUACUGAAGUGCCUCUAAAAGGCAGGGACAGGAGACUGUGUUGUUUCUGGCAUCAGCUCGAUCAACCGUCAGCUAGAGGAGAGGGUGUUACAACUGAUCUCCUCGGGAUGGACAAAUUCCCAGAAAGAGGAAGUAACCUGGGAGGUUUAGGAAAAGAUGAGAAAGGUUGUUUUCCCUUUCCUGGUCUCCUGCAGGUUGAAAGGAAAUGAGACACAUCCCAGAUCAAAUCCUGCCCAGAAUGAACAACUUGACUGCGUUAUCCUGGACACUUUAUCCCAAAACAAUCCACACUGGAGAAUGCAGUUGGUGGUGGUGGCCUCACGUGGCAUAGAAAUAGCUCAGCUCUCAGCAUAAGGGCUGAUUUUUGGAGGGUUAAUAGGUCAAAAAAAUCUAUUACUGAGAUUUACAAAAAGAAAUAUUUUUGUUGUCUUUAGUCUGCUUCCACUGCCUGCGUAGAGUGAAUUUUUUCCUUCUCAAUUUUCAUGGGAUCAAAGGCAGGUCAGUACUGAGCAUCUGGAGAUCUUGUCCAGUAUCACUGAAAGAUGAAAGCAUUUGGUAAAUAAAUUGUUAAGUGUCUGUUUUUACCGAAGUAUUAACAAGAGUACUGCCCCUAGCAUGAAUCUUACUGACACAAAAGGCUCCUUAGCUAUUAAUAUGAGUUGUCUGGCUGGCUGUGGAAGAGAGGGGGAAUUUGCUGUAGUUCACACACCUCAUCUGUUGCAAACCCCACAACAACUCAAGUACUAUUUUUUGGCAUGGCUAUUCUCACUUUAGGCUUGCCUAGCUCGAGAGGCGAGUAGGCAAUGUGAGCUAAUUCUGGAACAGAUGUAUAACAUGAGAUGGCUAACUUUACUGAAUUACUUUACAGUACAGCAUCCUAAAUAAUAGCUCUUGUUGCAUGAGCCCAGCUUUACACAUAUUUAUUUAAAAUACUAGAGCGAGCAGACCCCUCUGCACAGGACAAUAUUAAGAGUUUGCGAGGCACAUGUAGUUGAGAGUCACGAAUAAAGAAGUGGUAAAAGUAAUUAAGGUAUUAUCUCUAUGGUAUCUGACCUUACGCUUAGAAGGGCAGAGUUUGUAUGGCUGCUGGAAUUUUUGUAGAUGACCAUAAACAGUGACUGUUGACUGGGUUAACAUGCUGCCUUGUCUUUUGCUGUCUGUUACUGAUGACCAAAAAUGGUUUGCAAUUGUGGAAUGUUGUGGUAUAUACAGUCCUGGAGCUCAGAAGCUUUAGAUGCGCUGGUAACGAUUGAAUCAGUGAGUUAAUGAGUCUGUGAGAUCUGGCAUUGGCAUCCCUUAGUUCACAGCAGUCAGUAAUAUAUAGACUCAGUGUGUAUACAUGCCGAAGCUUAAUUUGCAAUCCUAUUUAGAGUGGAAAAAAAUGCCACACUUAAAAAAAAAAAAAUUGCAAACAGGGUUCUUUUCACAGUGGACAGAGAACACUGUUAAACAGAGGAAGCACAAUAUCCCUUUUCAUAGCAAGAGAUCAAAUGUCUGCAGAAGAGUUUAAUUUAUACUUCUUCAUGUGCCAGAGCUGUGUCUGAGACAUUGCAGCAUUUCAGUUCCUUCAAUCAGGUCAUAGUUUCCAGCACAGAUGAUUUCAUCCCUUUUAAAAUAGAACAAAUAGAAUAAAUGGAAUUCCACAUAAUCAUGGUAGGAGCUGGGAUUAUAGGAAAUUAAAACACAUAUUUAAAAGCAGAGGUCUGUGCGGUAAAUAAUCAUGACACAGAGUUUGGAAAGCAGUGCUUGGUCUCUUCUCAGCAGUUAAUGGGCAACCGGGGUCUUUGGCUCAGCAGCUUUCUGUAACAUGGGGGACGUGGGUGUUUCCUAGAGGAGGAUGACGAAUGAGAGUGAUGGUGGAUAAUGUGCAGUAUCACAUUUUUAAAAGUUGCUCCCUUUCCAGAAGAUAUAUUAAAAUAAUGCCACGUGACUCUAACGUAACAUGGACAAACACUGGCUGGUGUGAAUUGGGUAUGGGCUCUAUAGUCCGUGCACUGCCACGUGGGGAGCACUGUUUUCAUUGCUUUCCCUAGUUAGGUCCUCUGUUCCUUAGCUGCUACAGAAUAUUUCACAUCUCCCUGCCACGGCUCUGCGUUGGCAGUCGGAGAAAAGGUGUUGAUGAAUUCUGUCUCAAAUUUCUGCCUGUCUGAAGAACGCCCUUAUGAAGUACCAGCAUAUAUUAUACUGAUAUCCCCCAAACAGAGAGGUAUCUGACUGCAACUUGGAGUGCUUUGAACUGGUGCUGUAAGACAAGUGGUUUGUGUAUUUAUUACAACAGGAGAAAAUGAAACUAGAAACAUGUUUUCCUUAAUUAUAGAAUUUGCCCAACACUGCUUUCGUUGUGAUCUAUGUUUGGCAUAAAAAAAGAGCUAUCAGUAACUUAUUUGUAAUAUGAAAAAAUUGCAUCAGAGCUAUUUUAUUAGGCAACAUACAAACACACAGUGAAGAUGGUCCUUGACCCUAAAGGACUGUUUUGUCUAUGUGAGUGAAUGAGACACUCAGCUAUUACAUGUAUUAUCUCCAGUCACAGAAGAAUUCAGUAGCAAGGCUGGGAAUCAUAUUCUAUUUUCUUAAGUCAUAACCCCAUGCCUUUAAAGAUAGGAUCACUCCUGUCACAUAUGUUUUAUGCAUGUGUGUACGAUAAACGUAAAUACAUUCACUUUUGUCUAGUAUAACAUUCAGGCAGGACUGAGAGUCUGUAUCUUGCAUAUUUAUAUCUUUUUUGCAUCAUGUCUCACUGUGGUAAAGAUUACACUGACAGACUAAUUCUGUUUGGGAAGGUUUCUGCUUAAAAGCAAGUAAAAGUCUGAAAGGAAAGGCAAAUUCAUCACUGGUGAGUUGGCUGAAUCCAGUCACAUGCUAUAUAAUAUAACUUAUCCUUAGGAAUUCAUGCCUCCAAUGGGCCUGCCUACCAGAUAAGCUACAAGAUGAAAGUGAGUUGCACAAGAUUCUGUUGCCCAGAGCACGCAGUUCAGUCUCUGUUACUCCUCUGUUCAACCAGAUGCUAUACAAGAAACGACAUUCUCUCUCUUUCAAAAAGGAGUUAAUCGAGGGGAGAUACGCAGGUAAAAGUCUUAUGCAUGCCACUCUGCUAAUGCUGCUGAACAUUUCAAAAGUAUACUUUGAAGUUAUUUGUGUUGUCUCAGCUUCUCUAAAAGUUUACCCUGGAUUCCUUUAGUCGUGGGAAAUAGAACUCUCUUGCUUGAUUUUGGUGAAUGCAGCCUUCAAAAAUCACAGCAAACACAAGGCACUGGUUUGCUUUUAUAGUUCCAAGUUGAUGAAAAGACUUUUAAUGUAUUCUUGUAGGUGUAAUCAUGUGUCAUAAAUAUACCCACCAACAAGAGACAAACCCUAACUCAAAAAUAACUGUUAAUUGAUUAC